CUGGAGGUAUCAGAAGUGCGAAUGCUGACAUAAGUAACGAUAAAGCGGGUGAAAAGCCCGCUCGCCGGAAGACCAAGGGUUCCUGUCCAACGUUAAUCGGGGCAGGGUGAGUCGACCCCUAAGGCGAGGCCGAAAGGCGUAGUCGAUGGGAAACAGGUUAAUAUUCCUGUACUUGGUGUUACUGCGAAGGGGGGACGGAGAAGGCUAUGUUGGCCGGGCGACGGUUGUCCCGGUUUAAGCGUGUAGGCUGGUUUUCCAGGCAAAUCCGGAAAAUCAAGGCUGAGGCGUGAUGACGAGGCACUACGGUGCUGAAGCAACAAAUGCCCUGCUUCCAGGAAAAGCCUCUAAGCAUCAGGUAACAUCAAAUCGUACCCCAAACCGACACAGGUGGUCAGGUAGAGAAUACCAAGGCGCUUGAGAGAACUCGGGUGAAGGAACUAGGCAAAAUGGUGCCGUAACUUCGGGAGAAGGCACGCUGAUAUGUAGGUGAAGUCCCUCGCGGAUGGAGCUGAAAUCAGUCGAAGAUACCAGCUGGCUGCAACUGUUUAUUAAAAACACAGCACUGUGCAAACACGAAAGUGGACGUAUACGGUGUGACGCCUGCCCGGUGCCGGAAGGUUAAUUGAUGGGGUCAGCGCAAGCGAAGCUCUUGAUCGAAGCCCCGGUAAACGGCGGCCGUAACUAUAACGGUCCUAAGGUAGCGAAAUUCCUUGUCGGGUAAGUUCCGACCUGCACGAAUGGCGUAAUGAUGGCCAGGCUGUCUCCACCCGAGACUCAGUGAAAUUGAACUCGCUGUGAAGAUGCAGUGUACCCGCGGCAAGACGGAAAGACCCCGUGAACCUUUACUAUAGCUUGACACUGAACAUUGAGCCUUGAUGUGUAGGAUAGGUGGGAGGCUUUGAAGUGUGGACGCCAGUCUGCAUGGAGCCGACCUUGAAAUACCACCCUUUAAUGUUUGAUGUUCUAACGUUGACCCGUGAUCCGGGUUGCGGACAGUGUCUGGUGGGUAGUUUGACUGGGGCGGUCUCCUCCUAAAGAGUAACGGAGGAGCACGAAGGUUGGCUAAUCCUGGUCGGACAUCAGGAGGUUAGUGCAAUGGCAUAAGCCAGCUUGACUGCGAGCGUGACGGCGCGAGCAGGUGCGAAAGCAGGUCAUAGUGAUCCGGUGGUUCUGAAUGGAAGGGCCAUCGCUCAACGGAUAAAAGGUACUCCGGGGAUAACAGGCUGAUACCGCCCAAGAGUUCAUAUCGACGGCGGUGUUUGGCACCUCGAUGUCGGCUCAUCACAUCCUGGGGCUGAAGUAGGUCCCAAGGGUAUGGCUGUUCGCCAUUUAAAGUGGUACGCGAGCUGGGUUUAGAACGUCGUGAGACAGUUCGGUCCCUAUCUGCCGUGGGCGCUGGAGAACUGAGGGGGGCUGCUCCUAGUACGAGAGGACCGGAGUGGACGCAUCACUGGUGUUCGGGUUGUCAUGCCAAUGGCACUGCCCGGUAGCUAAAUGCGGAAGAGAUAAGUGCUGAAAGCAUCUAAGCACGAAACUUGCC
Molecule: ribosomal RNA, 1540 nt
Filed under: Escherichia coli
Lineage: Bacteria; Pseudomonadati; Pseudomonadota; Gammaproteobacteria; Enterobacterales; Enterobacteriaceae
Description: partial 23S ribosomal RNA
Rfam family: Bacterial large subunit ribosomal RNA
Source: RNAcentral